Molecule: long non-coding RNA, 7812 nt
Organism: Columba livia (rock pigeon)
Lineage: Eukaryota; Metazoa; Chordata; Aves; Columbiformes; Columbidae
Exons: 2
Source: RefSeq, a predicted model, not a curated record
CUGGUUGGGUUGGUUCAGUCAAAAGAAGGGCAGGAAAGGGACAUCAGGUUUUUAGUGACUGCUCAGAAUCCUCAUGGAGUGCUUCGUUCAUUCAUCCUGCUGCCUUGACUGGUGUUGCUGGCGCUCAGCUCCUCGUGCAGAGGUGCGUUCAGCUGCAGGUUUCACCAACUAAAGCCCCAGUGAAGCGUUUUGCCCUGAUGAGCCCCUGGUGCUGGGGAUGCUGGAGGCAGGUGAGCACUGCAGGGCUGCACAGCAAGAGGGCUGGAGGGGUCUGGUCUGAAAGGGGAACUUCAUUUCAAAAUAAGGUUGUGCUGACAGACCUCAGGGAGCUUCACGGGUUGCUGAUCCCCAGUGCAGGUACAGGACCUGCUCCCAGUGCCCGUGUGAGCUGGAUCGUUAUUGCAGCUGGGGAAAACUGAGGCACAGAACAAGUUAAAUGAUUUACCAAACAUCAGGCAUAUGGGCACAAUCUGAUUGCAUGCAAUUCUGGUCUGUGGGAAUGCUUUUAUAAGCAAUCCAGGCUUUACAGCACUUCCUAACACUUGGGCAAUAGCUAUCAAAAACCCAUUAAGUAUGGCCCCUGCUUUUCUAACUCCAGAGUGCCUUUUUAAUGCUGUGAAAUGUUUGUCACUGCAUCAUCUUGUCUCCUGAUGCUCUUGUAUUUUGAAGAUAGCUGCUGAGAACGGCAGCGUGUCGAUAAUAAGUGUAUGACAUCUUGCUGAAUGUGGGAAGAAAACGAUCCUCAUUUCUUCUGUAUUACAUCCCAAGAAGCGUUUCCAUGAGGCUCAGCAUCUCACCGCCGCCUUUAACACUGCAAGGCAGGUGCCACUCACAAUAUGUUAUAAAGUCUGUAGGUGGUAAAUGUAGCCAGAAGGAGCUGGUCCAGCACUGGACAUGGGACAGGAUGAUGCUCCCUGGAGAGAUAGAUGGGGUGGAAAGGCAAUCCUGUGAGCACCAGCUCCUGGUAUCUCCAACAACGCUGCAGGUGGGAUAGGAUGCCAUGGCCUUGCUGCUGUCAGGAGGUGGGAGGAAGGAGCUCAGUGCCUUCGAAGUGUCCCAGGAUAAAGCAUGAUGUUCCUGACACUUAUAUUCCGGUUUCCAGAGGUGAGUCCCUUUUUAAAUUCCAGGUGUAAAGAAGAAGGAGCAAGAGAAACACGUUCUCCAAAGGAAUUUCAGCACAGACUGACCCACAGCCCUGCAACUCUUUUGCCUCCUCAUCCCUUCCCAGCGCAGUCUGGGUUGAUGAUGCUCCAGCCUUGAGCUCCUCCUCUCCUUCCUUGUUUGUGUUCACAGACAUUUGUGUCUGAAACUACCACUACAAUUCCUGAAAAUGGUCAUUUUUACAUAUAAAUAUCCAGUGCAAAAAGCACAUCCACAGCCUGGGUUCUGCCUGUGGGCACGGCUGGGAGCUGGGGCAUCGCGGUGCUCAGGGGCCGGCUGCGCACCAUCAGCUUUGGGGUUUUUUUUAAAAAGAAAAAUAGAUUUUGCCUGCAAAAAGAAGUAUUGACUCAUUUCCAUAUGAGAAAUGAGUUACCUGCUUGCAAAAUUGUUUGUAAGCAGGAAAAUGUGUGGGACUUGGAAACUGAGUCGCUUAUCGUGGUGUUACUUGUCCAGUUGCACUUCCAGCUGGAGCUCGGGGUUCUGGAAGAGGAAAAACAAGUCCAGAGGGAACAUGCAAAUUGCUGCUUGUCUUACAGGUCUGUUUUCUUCUCUCCUUAGAUACAUUACAGGUAAAUCCUCCUCCUCAGCAGUGCUGAAUCCCUGGAUAUUGGAGCUUUUGUUGCAGCACCUCUUUCAGAAGUGGGAGUGUGCUACAGCUUAGAUCGCAUUUUAAAGAGGUAUCAGUUAAUCCUUUCAGGAGACCACCUGGGACAAAGCAAUCUCUCAUUUUUGGGCACAGUGCUGUCCCCAGCCACCCCAAAAGCAUCUCAGCCCCCCAGUCCCUUCCCGGGGCCGUGCAUCGCUCAGCUCGGCCACAUUGAGCAUCGCUGCAGAUCCGGAGCAGCCCAAAAACGUGCUGCGGGUGGUGCUGCCCUGCAAAGGGGAUGCCUGCACAGUGCAAGCACGUUUCAGACGUUCCUUGCUGCAGCUGCUGAGGUUUCGCUUCCACAGUGUUGCAGGUCUGGUGAUGACAGCCCUGAGCCCCCAGAUUUUGUCCCCUGUGUGGAUUGGGGUCCUGCAGCUCCAUCCUGCUCUUGCUGAUGGGUGCUUGUGCGCAGUCCCUGAUGAAAGGCGCUCUGGAAAGGCGAGGGAUUCCUGCUCCUUCAGGAAGAGCUUUCAGUGCACUCAUCUAACCUUCGUUUGAAUGUCUCCAAUGUAAAUUAUGAGAUGGAGAUACAUAUAUCAAGAAGUAUCUGCAUGUGGGUGUGAGCCAGAGGCAGCUGUUCCUGCCAUGGCUUUAAAAGCCUUUUUCCAGCGAGGAGAUGCUGCAGAGUUGAGCUGCUUCAAUUUCCUGGUGCUUCAGCAGAGAGGUAUUUAUUGAUGGUCCAGGGAAGGAGGUCAGUGCCAUCAGCUGUAUUUCAAACCCCAAGUCUGUAAUUAUCCUUUCUUCCCAGAGGGGAUUAUACAGGUAUUUUCUUUAUCUCGAAUGCACAACCUGAAGCAGGUCCCCAUGUCAAAGAGCCUCGCUAGGAAACCCCGUAAUCGGCUCGGAGGCCUUUUCAAAUGGAAGGAUGGAAAGAAUCUUGGGUUUUUUUUAUCUCUGGGCUUUCCAGAUCACUGAGUCCCGAUAGGGAAAUGGAUCUGGGACCCUUGGAAGAAGAGAGGACAGAGAUACAGCUCAGCAGCCUCAAACCAUUCCCAUGAGAAAGCUGAUCGGGAGAGGUCCCAUGCCUAUGCAAAGCUCUGUACUUAACAUUUUGUUUCCAAUGCAAAUCAAUACAUUAGGUUGUGAACUAAAUGCUAAGGUGCCGUGUGAUAUUUAAUGCGUUUUUCUUUCUGUGCCUCUGUUUUACCCAGCAAAGCUCCUGCAAUGUGUCUCUGCGGGUCUCUGCUCCUGAGGUCUUUGGGACAAUCAAUGGGGCAGGAGGGUUCAGCCCCCCCAGACCAGCAGAUACAACAUCUGUUACAGAUGUUACCUGCCUAGUGCACAGUGUCUUGGUGGGAAUAGACACCCAAUAAAACAACAGAAUUUACUCAGACCUCUGCAAAAGCACCCUGUGCUCCUUCAGGACUGGGAAGGGGAUUAGUAAGCAGUUUGCAAUUAAUAAUUUCAGCUAAUGCGUUUUGCUGCUUUACCAUAUAGGAAUGAGUUGGCCUCAAAUGUACCGCUCGCUCAGCAUAUUCUGUGAACUGUUUGGAAACUGCUCACAAAUAACAAUGUAUUGUGAGUUCCCACACAUUUCCCUGCUGUACUUCAUUUUACAGAUUGGGCCGUGCUGCCUGGGGAGCCCGGGACAUAACAGCCUGAACCUCAGGAAUGCCUGUUACCUUCAUGACUUCAUUUGUAAAAUAAGUUUAGUGCAGUAAUUAUUUCACUCCCUCUGAUUUGUUGUUGUUAAUAUACAGCUAAGCCCCUUCUCAUCUAUGUUAGAAAAAGCUGGUUUAAAUUCAUUUAAAUUAUUAACUGCUCCGGAGGGACUCGAGUCGCUCUGUCUCUGCUUGUACAGCGCACAGAACGCGCAGGGGUCGGGGAGGCGCGAAACCAAAACGGGAGGCUGGAGAGCCCCAGGAUUGAAGCCAGAGGAACUGGAACCCUGUGCUGCUUUGUGCUGACACCGAGGAAAGUUUCUGAUCUUAUGUCACCCCCAGUUCAGCCGCGCGGCAGCAAAAGCUCCUGGACUCGCGCACCCUCCCCGGCUCUGCCCUGUGGCUUUAACCAUCACAGGUUUAUUCAUUUAGCAGCGCAAACUCCCAUUACAUUUUGGCAACCAGUCUAUGGGAUCUUUAUGUGUUUAAACAGUAUAAUCCAUUUUACAGUAACAUGCUUGAGAGGUUUUCCCUGUAUUCCCUAUAGAAGCGCCUGAAUUUGUGUGGCUUGGAUCUACAUAAUCUAAAAAGGGAGAACAAAGGCACAGUGUCUUUUGCGAACGGCGGUGGAUCCUAUGUAAGCCAUCGUAGUGUUGCUAUCAAUUCGCUAAAAUGUAUUUAGAUUAUUGAGGGGCAAAAGGCCCUUCAGCAAAGAUUAGAGAGGAAUAAUAAUAGAAGAAUACUUUUCGUAUAGAACUUGCUGCCAACCCUCAGAGCAUGCGGGAGGGUUUUGAUCUGAGCUUCGGAGCGCAGCAGUGUGAAUCUGCUGCUUCACCUGCAGUUCUGGAGCUGCCGGAUCCCUCUGGGGACAGGCACCGCUGUCACAGCCAGAACGCUGUUACUUUUCCUUGCUUGGAACAUGCUCUGGGUUUUUAACGUCUGUGUGUUGGCAGGAUGUCCAGCAAAGCAGAUGUUGCAGCUGGGUCAGCGCCGUGCCCUGGCCAGGACACACAUCCCAUCCCAAGCUGUGGGGGGGUGCACCAGGAAACCCCUGUGCAGCAACGGGGACCCACCAUGGUGUAGGGAGGAACCUUGGGAAGGAGCAACAUCCACGUCUUCCUAUGGGGAAACCAACUCUGACCAGCUGCAGAAACAGCAUCAGGAGAGCCCAGCCAGCUGUGCGGGAGGGGACACAUCUGCACACAGGUAAGCACAGCGCAGCUCUUGCUGUGUGUACAAACCCUCUGGUGAUGUUUCUUUAAUGUCUUCCCCAACCUCUUGCUAACUUGGAUCUUGUGCUUUAAGCAACCCUGGCUGCCUUUGGUCAGACCCUUUGCUCGCACCCCACCAGCCCCAGGACUGCAGCCCCACUUUGCCCAGCACACAGGGCCACCACGAGACUCCCAGGGAGCCCUGGGGAUGCACCAUCCCCAUGAAGCCAUCUCCAUGCUGGGGAUACCACUUGUUCCCCGAGACCUGUCUGACCGGUCCUGAGGGAAUAUGGCCUGACCCCGUCCCUCGCUGCCUGGCGCCUCGGCACUUGGGUGACUGAUGCCAGAUAAAUGCCUGAGAUAGAGGGUGGGGAGACUUGGCCGGGCUGGAAUCCCAAACACGCACCACAGAUGCUGCAGAAGCUGCAAUGGCUUUUUAGGCUGCAGGGGUGAAGCUGCGCACAGGUCCCCUUGUCCCCCUCCAGAGCCCCUCGCUCCCGACCCACGGGCACACCAUGUUCUGGGAUAUUGGAUUGCAAGGGGUAGUUUGGGCUCAUUUCUAGCAAUUCUUUCUUGUUUCAUUCUGCCUCUCCGUCAAGCCACAACACUUAACCUCUCGCCAAACCAAAGGCGAUACCUAGACACGGCAGAGCUGGAUAUGAGACAGGGCAGGGAGAUGAGAGCUGAGUGUGCAGCAGCUCCAAGCUCUAUAUCCACAUUUGCUAAUUAGUUCCUCCAUUAAGAAUUAAAAUAAACAAACAAAUGGAAGGACAGUGAGAAUGAGUAAUUCCCCAGGAUGACACAGGAAAGGGUGGGUUGGUUUACUUGUUAGGGUGCUAGUCUAGGACUAGAGAACCCUGUUUAGGCUCUUCAAAUAAUUAGGACAGAUUACAAACUUUUUGGGGUUUUUUGAGAUCAUAUUUUGGAAUAUUAUGAAAGAGGGAGGAAUGGUCUAUGUCUGCCUCUGCUCUACUGCAGAUUUGGUGUGUCCUUGGGCUGGGGGCACGUGAGGGUCCCCAUGGCUCUGCCUGUAUCUGCGCUGCGAUGGGUGGGUGCCCCAUGGGGCCCUGGUGAGGCUCACACUUGCUGCAUGGCACCAUCUGCACGCUGAAUAUCUCAGUGCCACCUCCUCUGCAGGGCUGAUGUGGGGACAAACACCAUGGGCUGUAUGUCACCCGGCCAAGGCUGCUCCUACUGACCCCACUGUCAACCCACCGAUGGACAACGCAGCCCCCAUGGGAGCUGAGGCGGUGGCAAAAAGCAACCCAAGCUGGCUUUUCUGAACCUACCCUUUAAGAACUGCUCUUCUAACAAAGAAAAAAAUUCAUUUAAAAACAUCUAAUUAAACAGUAAGUCAUUACAAGGUACAUGAAACUUGGAGAUAACACAUGCCUGGGAGGCACUGGGGAGGUUGAGACAAAGCCCAGCGCCUUCACCAGUACCCGCAUGUGUUAUCUCACAUGAACACACACCUGGUUUUAUCCCGGUGCAAUUAUAGGACAUUAAAAAUAUAAUUUUAAUGGAGGAAUGGUGAUCUGGACGCAGUUCAGAGCAAAAACUUUCUUUUAAGUUUCACUGUUUGAUUAGUAGGUGUUCCCGCCACGCACGCCUGUGUGCGGAGGGAGAAGCGCCGGGCUCGGAGGUGUGACUGUUGUGAUGAACGCUGGGUCUCGCGGUGUGUGCGAGGGCUUGUCUCAACUGUAAAGCCUGCGUGAGCAGCGCCGAGGCAGCAGAACCUCCAGUCAAGACCCGGCUUGCCCCAUUUUGAGCCCCUUUUCCCAACUCAGGCAAACUACAGCAGCAGAUGAAGCUGCAGAGUGCCGGGAGGGCUGUGUCAGAGCGCUCAGCACCCUGCGGCUCGCUGAGUCCAAGCACCGCCGCCCACGGCUGAGGACACUCUUAUAAAAGACGUGUCUUUGCAGCCCCGGGUGUUUUACAGGAUGACCUCAUUUAUUACCUUGCUCGUCACAGGAAAUGAUGUUUAUCUAAUCUACCAUUCUUUCAGGAAUUGUUUUUCUUGCCACAUCUGGCUGCACGUGGCGGUUCUUCCAGCUCAAUUCCUCUCUGCACUGAAACACAGGAGAGGUGGCACCGCUGCCACCGUGCCAGCGCCCCAUCCCAACAGCAGCCCCACACGCAAGCCCCGCGGGGAGAUUUUGGAGCUCAUGUGCAGUGGCGAGUGGAUCUAAGGAUCUCAGUCUUACUCUCCCUCCUCUGCUGCAUUCUUUAGUAGUGACAACUACUUCUUGCAAUAAUUCUGGAUGUGGGCUCGGAGCACUCUGAGGCACAGAUCUCUGUCCAUCUGUCCAACACUCAGCCAAACAGGUCCACAUUCCUGAGCAGAAACACUAGCGCUGCUGCUCCGGAGCAGCUGAAAAGCCUCGGAUGGAAAUUUAAACGAGUCACAAACACAAAGGAAAGCACAGUGGCCAAAUCCUGCUGCCUCAACGUGAAGCUCCGUCCCUUCCAGCCACACAGCGCCUGGGCACCGUGCACCCCUGGGUGCUAGUGUGAGUGCCCAUGGGCUGCGCCCUGCUCCGGCUCUACUCCAGGUUGUAAAACGCUUGCCCGCAAGCGGGAUGCACAGGCCCUGCAGCUCUUCCCACUGCUCACAGGGCCCCUGGUCUGCUCCUGAACCCUGCUGAGCCCCCAGGCUUCUUCCAGGUACCAGCGAGAGAGAUUUGUAUUUCUCUUUAUAAUAAAAAGGCUCCAUCAGAAGCUUUCAGCUGAUCCUUAAAGGAUGUCAAAGCAAUAAACCCCCUUCUUAUUUUAUAACCAAGCUGCAGGGUUUUUUGCUACCAAAUGCAAUGGCAUAAUGCUGGAUUUCAUAAACAGAAAACCAGGCUCUCCCCACUCAGGGGAGGGAAGGAUCUGUAGCAGGAGCAGUGGCUGUUUGGGCAUCGAUGGGUCUCCAGCCCUUUUUCCUGGGGGUUUUCAGGUCAGGGUGGGAGUAGCUGUCCCAGGCAUCAGGGGAAGAGAGCAGAAAAUGCCUGUAGCUGCUGUAGCCUGAAGCAGACAGAGCCAUGGACUAAACUUUUUCAGAGUGAAUUUUACUGUUUUCGAGUCAAAUAUAUCCCUGGCGUUAUAUAAACGUUUGGGAGGAAAAACAAAACAACAACACAAGAAAAAAACAAAACAAAUACAACAACAAUAAAAAUGAGACAGAAAAUAACUUCCAAAAUACUUUUGAAAA